Molecule: ribosomal RNA, 807 nt
Filed under: Encephalographa elisae
Lineage: Eukaryota; Fungi; Ascomycota; Dothideomycetes; Eremithallales; Melaspileaceae
Description: eukaryotic LSU rRNA
Rfam family: Eukaryotic large subunit ribosomal RNA
Source: RNAcentral
UAACGGCGAGUGAAGCGGCAGCAGCUCAAAUUUGAAAUCUGGCCCCCUGGGGAGCCCGAGUUGUAAUUUGAAGAGGCAGCUUCGGCGUUGGCGCCGGCCCAAGUUCCUUGGGACAGGACGUCGCAGAGGGUGAGAAUCCCGUACGCGGCCGGCGGCCCUCCGCCAUGUGAAGCGCCUUCGACGAGUCGAGUUGUUUGGGAAUGCAGCUCUAAGCGGGAGGUAAAUUUCUUCUAAGGCUAAAUACCGGCCAGAGACCGAUAGCGCACAAGUAGAGUGAUCGAAAGAUGAAAAGCACUUUGGAAAGAGAGUUAAAAAGCACGUGAAAUUGUUGAAAGGGAAGCGCUUGCCGCCAGACCCGCCCGCGGACGCUCAACCUGACCCACUGGCAGGUGCACUCUUCCGCGGGCGGGCCAGCAUCGGUUCGGGCGGCCGGAUAAAGGCGGCGGGAAUGUAGCUCCCCCCGGGGAGUGUUAUAGCCCGCCGCGGCAUGCGGCCUGCCUGGACCGAGGACCGCGCUCUGUGGCUAGGAUGCUGGCGUAAUGGCUGCAAGCGGCCCGUCUUGAAACACGGACCAAGGAGUCUAACAUCUGUGCGAGUGUUCGGGCGCCAAACCCGCGCGCGCAAUGAAAGUGAACGGAGGUGGGAACCGCUCUCCUGCGGCGCACCAUCGACCGAUCCUGAAGUCUUUCGGAUGGAUUUGAGUAAGAGCACAGCUGUUGGGACCCGAAAGAUGGUGAACUAUGCCUGAAUAGGGCGAAGCCAGAGGAAACUCUGGUGGAGGCUCGCAGCGGUUCUGACGUGCAAAUC